This 332-nucleotide ribosomal RNA is filed under the name Terebra anilis. Its description in RNAcentral is "Cinguloterebra anilis partial 12S ribosomal RNA". Lineage: Eukaryota; Metazoa; Mollusca; Gastropoda; Neogastropoda; Terebridae. The record is from RNAcentral.
UCUUGGGUGUAAAUAGACUAGAGUACUAUGAACGAUUGUAAAUUUAAAACUCAAAGAACUUGGCGGUGUUUUAGACCAUUUAGGGGAACCUGUCUCAUAAUCGACAAUCCACGUUGUACCUGACCUUUUUUUGUUUUUCAGUUUGUAUACCGUUGUCGUCAGGUAACUUUUUAGAAGAUAGGAGUUGGCCGGAAAAAUAUAAUUUUAUACGUCAAAUCAAGGUGCAGCUAAUAGAAAGGGGAGGAUGGGUUACAGUUAUAAUUUAUAAGUACGGAAGGCGGACUUAAAAGUAAAUUAGAUAAAAAUAAUUUGAAUGAGGCUCUGAAACGUGU